Molecule: ribosomal RNA, 490 nt
Filed under: uncultured bacterium
Lineage: Bacteria
Description: partial 16S ribosomal RNA
Rfam family: Bacterial small subunit ribosomal RNA
Source: RNAcentral
GUGCACGCUGGCGGUAGGCCUAACACAUGCAAGUCGAACGGCAGCACCGUAAGAGCUUGCUCUUCCGGGUGGCGAGUGGCGGACGGGUGAGGAAUACAUCGGAAUCUACUUUUUCGUGGGGGAUAACGUAGGGAAACUUACGCUAAUACCGCAUACGACCUACGGGUGAAAGCAGGGGAUCUUCGGACCUUGCGCGAUUGAAUGAGCCGAUGUCGGAUUAGCUAGUUGGCGGGGUAAAGGCCACCAAGGCGACGAUCCGUAGCUGGUCUGAGAGGAUGAUCAGCCACACUGGAACUGAGACACGGUCCAGACUCCUACGGGAGGCAGCAGUGGGGAAUAUUGGACAAUGGGCGCAAGCCUGAUCCAGCCAUACCGCGUGGGUGAAGAAGGCCUUCGGGUUGUAAAGCCCUUUUGUUGGGAAAGAAAAGCAGCAGGUUAAUACCCCGCUGUUCUGACGGUACCCAAAGAAUAAGCACCGGCUAACUUCGUG